Bos taurus (domestic cattle) is the source of this 1153-nucleotide long non-coding RNA. The record is from Ensembl. NCBI's taxonomy places the organism in Eukaryota, Metazoa, Chordata, Mammalia, Artiodactyla, Bovidae.
GUCACCUGUACAAUGUCAUGAACCUCCGUCCAUAGUUCAUCAGGCACUCUAUCAGAUCUAGUCCCUUAAAUCUAUUUCUCACUUCCACUGUAUAAUCAUAAGGCAUUUGACUUAGGUCAUACCUGAAUGGUCUAGUGGUUUUCCCUUCUUUCUUCAACUUGUCUGAAUUUUAUUUUAAUAUAAAUUUUGUUUUAUAUUGUUUAUAUAAAAUUUUAUAAAAUAUAAAUUUUAUAAUAAAUAUAAAUAUAUUAUAUAAAUUUAAUGUAUAAAAUUUAAUAUAUAAAUAAUAUUAAUAUAUAUGCCAGCCCAGAGUAGAAAAAGGUGCGAUUUCUAACUGAUAUGGGGGCAGCACAACAGGUGUCAGGAAGAGGGCUUGGCCUACAGCACACUCUUGUUGCAGGAAGGGAGACCCCUUCCAGGCCUGAGAGUGGGCUUUUGUCUAACAGUUGGAAAUGAGUUGUCUGAUGAGACACACAAGCUGACAAAGCAAAAAACUUUAUUGGGAAGAGGUGCCUGGACUGAGAGCAGGAGGUUAAGGGACACCGGGAGGUCUGCUCUGCCAUCUGACUCGCUGUGCUGGGUUUUAUGGUGAUGGGCUUAGUUUUUGGGUUGUAUCUGGACAAUUAUUCUGACUCAGGGUCCUUCCCGGUGGCACAUGCAUUGCUCAGCCAAGAUGGAUGACAGUGAGAAGGAUUCUGGGAGGUGCUAGGACACGUGGCAUCUCCUUUUGAUCUUUCCUGAACUCUUUCAGUUGGUGGUGGCUUAUUAGUUCCAUGUUCCUUACUAGGACCUUUUGUCAUAAAAUAACUCAGGCAAAUGGUUACUAUGGUGCCUGGCCAGGUUGGGCGGUUUCAAUCAGUAUGUUUCCCCUAACACUUUGACAUCUUUUGCUUUAUGAACAGCUGCUCCCUUAAUCCUCAACUCAAGCAUCAUCUCUUCCAAAAAGCCUUUCCUGGGGACUUCCCUGGUGAUCCAGCAGUUGGGACUUUGCCUUCCAGUGCAGAGGGUGUGGGUUUGAUUCCUGGUCAGAGAGCUAACAUGCCUCUCAGCCAAAAAACCAAGACCUCCAUUUCAGAACCCCUAAAAGUCUCUUGCUGUUAUGUCAUCAGGCUGGAAGUCUAGGAUCUUACAAUCUACAUCAGGUUUGUAGGUG